RNAcentral lists this unclassified non-coding RNA (213 nucleotides) under Hevea brasiliensis (rubber tree). Lineage: Eukaryota; Viridiplantae; Streptophyta; Magnoliopsida; Malpighiales; Euphorbiaceae. The record is from RNAcentral.
GUAAUAUGGUUUAAAAGCUAUGGUAAAGAUGGAAAUGAAGUAGCAAGUUUGGGAUUGAGACGUGAAAUAGUUGAAAGAAUGAAGUGGGAACAACAGAGAGGUGGAUGGCAAAAUCAAGGGAGGAUCAAACAAGUCGAAGAGAACAGAGAAAAUAGUAGUGGAUGGAGAAGAUUCACUUGCUAUGUUUUGGUUGAGAGGUUUGUGUUGAGAAGA